GAUGAAGAACGCAGCGAAAUGCGAUAAGUAGUGUGAAUUGCAGAAUUCAGUGAAUCAUCGAAUCUUUGAACGCACAUUGCGCCCCUUGGUAUUCCAUGGGGCAUGCCUGUUCGAGCGUCAUUGCUGCCCUCAAGCACGGCUUGUGUGUUGGGCCCCGUCCUCCGAUCCCGGGGGACGGGCCCGAAAGGCAGCGGCGGCACCGCGUCCGGUCCUCGAGCGUAUGGGGCUUUGUCACCCGCUCUGUAGGCCCGGCCGGCGCUUGCCGAUCAACCCAAAUUUUUAUCCAGGUUGACCUCGGAUCAGGUAGGGAUACCCGCUGAACUUAAGCAUAUCAAUAAGCGGAGGA
Molecule: unclassified non-coding RNA, 346 nt
Filed under: soil metagenome
Description: partial contains 5.8S ribosomal RNA, internal transcribed spacer 2, and large subunit ribosomal RNA
Rfam family: 5.8S ribosomal RNA (bases 1-120)
Source: RNAcentral